This 339-nucleotide ribosomal RNA is filed under the name Sphaerotilus sp. Its description in RNAcentral is "bacterial SSU rRNA". It matches the Rfam family "Bacterial small subunit ribosomal RNA", at positions 565 to 904 of the family's 1533-position model. Lineage: Bacteria; Pseudomonadati; Pseudomonadota; Betaproteobacteria; Burkholderiales; Sphaerotilaceae. The record is from RNAcentral.
GCGUGCGCAGGCGGUUCUAUAAGACAGGUGUGAAAUCCCCGGGCUCAACCUGGGAACUGCAUUUGUGACUGUAGAGCUGGAGUACGGUAGAGGGGGAUGGAAUUCCGCGUGUAGCAGUGAAAUGCGUAGAUAUGCGGAGGAACACCGAUGGCGAAGGCAAUCCCCUGGACCUGUACUGACGCUCAUGCACGAAAGCGUGGGGAGCAAACAGGAUUAGAUACCCUGGUAGUCCACGCCCUAAACGAUGUCAACUGGUUGUUGGGAAGGUUCCUUCUCAGUAACGUAGCUAACGCGUGAAGUUGACCGCCUGGGGAGUACGGCCGCAAGGUUGAAACUCAA